RNAcentral lists this ribosomal RNA (481 nucleotides) under uncultured bacterium. Its description in RNAcentral is "partial 16S ribosomal RNA". It matches the Rfam family "Bacterial small subunit ribosomal RNA", at positions 28 to 507 of the family's 1533-position model. The record is from RNAcentral.
GACGAACGCUGGCGGCGUGCUUAACACAUGCAAGUCGAACGAUGAUGCUCCAGCUUGCUGGGGUGGAUUAGUGGCGAACGGGUGAGUAACACGUGAGUAACCUGCCCUCUUCUUCGGGAUAAGCUUGGGAAACUGGGUCUAAUACUGGAUAUUCUGCAAUUGUCGCAUGGUGGUUGUGGGAAAGAUUUUUUGGUGGGGGAUGGGCUCGCGGCCUAUCAGCUUGUUGGUGGGGUGAUGGCCUACCAAGGCGUCGACGGGUAGCCGGCCUGAGAGGGUGACCGGCCACACUGGGACUGAGAUACGGCCCAGACUCCUACGGGAGGCAGCAGUGGGGAAUAUUGCACAAUGGGCGCAAGCUUGAUGCAGCGACGCCGCGUGGGGGAUGACGGCUUUCGGGUUGUAAACCUCUUUCGAUGGGGAACAAGGCCAUAUUUUUGUGUGGUUGAGGGUACCUGUAUAAGAAGCGCCGGCUAACUACGUG